This 265-nucleotide ribosomal RNA is filed under the name uncultured prokaryote. RNAcentral's name for it is "partial 16S ribosomal RNA". It matches the Rfam family "Bacterial small subunit ribosomal RNA", at positions 524 to 788 of the family's 1533-position model. The record is from RNAcentral.
UACGGAGGAUCCGAGCGUUAUCCGGAUUUAUUGGGUUUAAAGGGUGCGCAGGCGGGAGAUUGAGUCGGCGGUGAAAUUUUGCAGCUCAACUGUAAAAGUGCCUUCGAAACUGGUUUCCUUGAGUGUAGAUGAAGUAGGCGGAAUUUGUGGUGUAGCGGUGAAAUGCAUAGAUAUCACGAGGAACUCCGAUUGCGCAGGCAGCUUACUAAACUACUACUGACGCUCAGGCACGAAGGCGUGGGGAUCAAACAGGAUUAGAUACCCU